RNAcentral lists this ribosomal RNA (207 nucleotides) under uncultured bacterium. Its description in RNAcentral is "partial 16S ribosomal RNA". It matches the Rfam family "Bacterial small subunit ribosomal RNA", at positions 568 to 774 of the family's 1533-position model. The record is from RNAcentral.
UGCGUAGGCGGCGUAUUAAGUUGGGUGUGAAAUCCCCGGGCUCAACCUGGGAAUUGCACUCAAAACUGGUAUGCUUGAGUGUGAGAGAGGAAAGUGGAAUUCCUAGUGUAGCGGUGAAAUGCGUAGAUAUUAGGAGGAACACCAGUGGCGAAGGCGACUUUCUGGCUCAUAACUGACGCUGAGGCACGAAAGCGUGGGUAGCAAACA